This 502-nucleotide ribosomal RNA is filed under the name uncultured bacterium. Its description in RNAcentral is "partial 16S ribosomal RNA". It matches the Rfam family "Bacterial small subunit ribosomal RNA", at positions 28 to 523 of the family's 1533-position model. The record is from RNAcentral.
GAUGAACGCUAGCGGCAGGCCUAACACAUGCAAGUCGAGGGGCAGCACAGAAACAGCAAUGUUUUGGUGGCGACCGGCGGACGGGUGCGUAACGCGUAUGCGACCUACCUUUAACAGGGGGAUAACGGAGAGAAAUUUCCACUAAUACCCCAUAACAUUGAUCAAGGCAUCUUGAUUGGUUGAAAACUCCGGUGGUUAAAGAUGGGCAUGCGUUGUAUUAGGUAGUUGGUGAGGUAAUGGCUCACCAAGCCUACGAUACACAGGGGGACUGAGAGGUUAGCCCCCCACACUGGUACUGAGACACGGACCAGACUCCUACGGGAGGCAGCAGUGAGGAAUAUUGGUCAAUGGGGGCAACCCUGAACCAGCCAUGCCGCGUGCAGGAAGACGGCUCUAUGAGUUGUAAACUGCUUUUAAACAGGGAUAAAGCACAGUAUGUAUACUGUGUUGAUGGUACUGUAAGAAUAAGGAUCGGCUAACUCCGUGCCAGCAGCCGCCGUAA